AGAAUGGGUGCAGGGCUGUUUUGAAUAAUUGUUUCUGAACUGAUUUGGAAAUGUGCAGUUAUGGUUUUGGGAAACUGUGGACUAUCGAAAAUGGCUUGGUGGAAGAAGUUGAUGAAGAGUUUUGGUUCUGUUUGGAAUAUUUAGGGCGGCUUCGGAUGUGUUAUGGCGUGGACUGUUUAGUGUGUAUUUUUGUUUUGAUGUAGG
Molecule: long non-coding RNA, 204 nt
Organism: Vicia villosa (hairy vetch)
Lineage: Eukaryota; Viridiplantae; Streptophyta; Magnoliopsida; Fabales; Fabaceae
Exons: 3
Source: RefSeq, a predicted model, not a curated record